GUAGCGGUCAUGAUUGAAUUCGAAUAUCCAUAAAAAAAUCAUGUUUAAUUAAUAUAAAUCAUUUUUAUAUUCAAAUAAGGGUAGUUCGGCCAAUUAAACCACACCCAAAAUCUGAAACAUAUCUCACUUCCGAAAAUAAAGCAAACCCCUUUCUUCCAUUAUUCCAUAGAUUUUUACAGUUUUCGAAAAAGACAAUCCAUUGCAGACAAACGAUUUAGAGAGCAAAAGAAUUUUGAAGAAGGUCGCCGGCGAUUUUCCAUCUCAUCCAUGGUCCUAGCAGCACCUAGAAGGGUUUGUGGGAAUUAAGGUUUGUAGCUGUAAUUCUCUGAAUUUUGCGAGAAAACUCAGCAAGGACAUUUAUUGUUGGAUUGCAUACUAUGGAAUAUUCUUCAAGAUGAUUAAGCAUUACAACUCAAGAGAUAAUGCGAUAAGUAGUUUGAAGGAUCGAGCAGCUUGCAAGUUAUGCUACGGUGCUACCUACACUUUUUUCAUGUUCUUUUCCAGUUGAGUGUUUGUAUAUUGUUAAUUGAAAAG
This is a long non-coding RNA of Salvia miltiorrhiza (redroot sage), 534 nucleotides long. RefSeq lists it as uncharacterized. The transcript has 2 exons. NCBI's taxonomy places the organism in Eukaryota, Viridiplantae, Streptophyta, Magnoliopsida, Lamiales, Lamiaceae. The record is from RefSeq and is a predicted model, not a curated record.